AUUGAACGCUGGCGGCAUGCUUUACACAUGCAAGUCGAACGGUAACAGGCCUUCGGGUGCUGACGAGUGGCGAACGGGUGAGUAAUGCAUCGGAACGUGCCCAGAGGUGGGUGAUAACGCAGCGAAAGCUGUGCUAAUACCUCAUGUGAUCUGAGGAUUAAAGCGGGGGACCAGGCAGCAAUGUUUGGCCUCGCGCCUUUGUAGCGGCCGAUGUCAGAUUAGGUAGUUGGUGGGGUAAAGGCCUACCAAGCCGACGAUCUGUAGCUGGUCUGAGAGGACGACCAGCCACACUGGGACUGAGACACGGCCCAGACUCCUACGGGAGGAAGCAGUGGGGAAUUUUGGACAAUGGGCGCAAGCCUGAUCCAGCAAUGCCGCGUGCGGGAAGAAGGCCUUCGGGUUGUAAAACGCUUUUGUACGGAACGAAAAGGCUCUGGCUAAUACAUGGGGCUGAUGGCGGUACCGUAAGAAUAAGCACCGGCUAACUACGUG
This 492-nucleotide ribosomal RNA is filed under the name uncultured bacterium. Its description in RNAcentral is "partial 16S ribosomal RNA". It matches the Rfam family "Bacterial small subunit ribosomal RNA", at positions 30 to 507 of the family's 1533-position model. The record is from RNAcentral.